UACGUAGGGUGCGAGCGUUGUCCGGAAUUACUGGGCGUAAAGAGCUCGUAGGUGGUUUGUCGCGUUGUUCGUGAAAACCUGAGGCUUAACCUUGGGCGUGCGGGCGAUACGGGCAGACUGGAGUACUGCAGGGGAGACUGGAAUUCCUGGUGUAGCGGUGGAAUGCGCAGAUAUCAGGAGGAACACCGAUGGCGAAGGCAGGUCUCUGGGCAUUAACUGACGCUGAGGAGCGAAAGCAUGGGGAGCGAACAGG
This 253-nucleotide ribosomal RNA is filed under the name uncultured bacterium. RNAcentral describes it as "partial 16S ribosomal RNA". It matches the Rfam family "Bacterial small subunit ribosomal RNA", at positions 524 to 776 of the family's 1533-position model. The record is from RNAcentral.